This 325-nucleotide ribosomal RNA is filed under the name Acidobacteria bacterium enrichment culture clone C14_08_S76. Its description in RNAcentral is "bacterial SSU rRNA". It matches the Rfam family "Bacterial small subunit ribosomal RNA", at positions 15 to 354 of the family's 1533-position model. The record is from RNAcentral. Lineage: Bacteria; Pseudomonadati; Acidobacteriota.
GAUCCUGGCUCAGAAUCAACGCUGGCGGCGUGCCUAACACAUGCAAGUCGCACGAGAAAGUGGAGCAAUCCAUGAGUACAGUGGCGCACGGGUGAGUAACACGUGACUAACCUACCCUCGAGUGGGGAAUAACUUCGGGAAACCGAGGCUAAUACCGCAUAACACUUACGAGUCAAAGCAGCAAUGCGCUUGGGGAGGGGGUCGCGGCAGAUUAGCUAGUUGGUGAGGUAAUGGCUCACCAAGGCGAUGAUCUGUAUCCGGCCUGAGAGGGCGCACGGACACACUGGAACUGAAACACGGUCCAGACUCCUACGGGAGGCAGCAG